UUUAUGGAGAGUUUGAUCCUGGCUCAGGAUGAACGCUGGCGGCGUGCCUAAUACAUGCAAGUCGAGCGAACGGACGAGAAGCUUGCUUCUCUGAUGUUAGCGGCGGACGGGUGAGUAACACGUGGAUAACCUACCUAUAAGACUGGGAUAACUUCGGGAAACCGGAGCUAAUACCGGAUAAUAUUUUGAACCGCAUGGUUCAAAAGUGAAAGACGGUCUUGCUGUCACUUAUAGAUGGAUCCGCGCUGCAUUAGCUAGUUGGUAAGGUAACGGCUUACCAAGGCAACGAUGCAUAGCCGACCUGAGAGGGUGAUCGGCCACACUGGAACUGAGACACGGUCCAGACUCCUACGGGAGGCAGCAGUAGGGAAUCUUCCGCAAUGGGCGAAAGCCUGACGGAGCAACGCCGCGUGAGUGAUGAAGGUCUUCGGAUCGUAAAACUCUGUUAUUAGGGAAGAACAUAUGUGUAAGUAACUGUGCACAUCUUGACGGUACCUAAUCAGAAAGCCACGGCUAACUACGUGCCAGCAGCCGCGGUAAUACGUAGGUGGCAAGCGUUAUCCGGAAUUAUUGGGCGUAAAGCGCGCGUAGGCGGUUUUUUAAGUCUGAUGUGAAAGCCCACGGCUCAACCGUGGAGGGUCAUUGGAAACUGGAAAACUUGAGUGCAGAAGAGGAAAGUGGAAUUCCAUGUGUAGCGGUGAAAUGCGCAGAGAUAUGGAGGAACACCAGUGGCGAAGGCGACUUUCUGGUCUGUAACUGACGCUGAUGUGCGAAAGCGUGGGGAUCAAACAGGAUUAGAUACCCUGGUAGUCCACGCCAUAAACGAUGAGUGCUAAGUGUUAGGGGGUUUCCGCCCCUUAGUGCUGCAGCUAACGCAUUAAGCACUCCGCCUGGGGAGUACGACCGCAAGGUUGAAACUCAAAGGAAUUGACGGGGACCCGCACAAGCGGUGGAGCAUGUGGUUUAAUUCGAAGCAACGCGAAGAACCUUACCAAAUCUUGACAUCCUUUGACAACUCUAGAGAUAGAGCCUUCCCCUUCGGGGGACAAAGUGACAGGUGGUGCAUGGUUGUCGUCAGCUCGUGUCGUGAGAUGUUGGGUUAAGUCCCGCAACGAGCGCAACCCUUAAGCUUAGUUGCCAUCAUUAAGUUGGGCACUCUAAGUUGACUGCCGGUGACAAACCGGAGGAAGGUGGGGAUGACGUCAAAUCAUCAUGCCCCUUAUGAUUUGGGCUACACACGUGCUACAAUGGACAAUACAAAGGGCAGCGAAACCGCGAGGUCAAGCAAAUCCCAUAAAGUUGUUCUCAGUUCGGAUUGUAGUCUGCAACUCGACUACAUGAAGCUGGAAUCGCUAGUAAUCGUAGAUCAGCAUGCUACGGUGAAUACGUUCCCGGGUCUUGUACACACCGCCCGUCACACCACGAGAGUUUGU
RNAcentral lists this ribosomal RNA (1433 nucleotides) under Staphylococcus aureus. Its description in RNAcentral is "bacterial SSU rRNA". It matches the Rfam family "Bacterial small subunit ribosomal RNA". The record is from RNAcentral. Lineage: Bacteria; Bacillati; Bacillota; Bacilli; Caryophanales; Staphylococcaceae.